CUACGGGAUGCUGCAGUGAGGAAUAUUCCGCAAUGGGCGAAAGCCUGACGGAGCAAUGCCGCGUGUGGGAUGACGUCCUUCGGGAUGUAAACCACUUUUAUAAGGGAACAAGAUCUGAGGGUACCUUAUGAAUAAGCCACGGCUAAUCACGUGCCAGCAGCCGCGGUAAUACGUGAGUGGCAAGCGUUAUCCGGAAUUAUUGGGCGUAAAGCGUCACCAGGAGGAAAAAUAAGUCAGAUGUAAAAGACUACGGCUCAACCGUAGGAAAGCAUCUGAAACUGUUCUUCUAGAAGGCAGUAGAGGCAGAUGGAAUUCCCGGAGUAGGAGUAAUAUCCGUUGAUAUCGGGAGGAACACCAAUAGCGAAGGCAAUCUGCUGGGCUGACCUUGACUCUCACUGACGAAAGCGUGGGUAGCAAACGGGAUUAGAUACCCUGGUAGUC
Molecule: ribosomal RNA, 441 nt
Filed under: uncultured bacterium
Lineage: Bacteria
Description: partial 16S ribosomal RNA
Rfam family: Bacterial small subunit ribosomal RNA
Source: RNAcentral